UUCUCGGGCCUUAACUUUUCACUGCCGCUACUUCAGGACGUCGCUGGCUCAUUGAGAUGUGGACGUUUUCAGCUGCUUACCGGAGACCUCAGUUACCAUGGAGCUUCCUGAAACGGGCGGAGCUUCCUAUUCUGCCAAGAAAACUUUCUGCUAAAAUCCACGAAAGAAGGCAUUGCUGCAAAGGAUUCACACAAUCUCUAAGCGAUGCUUGAAACUUUUCUUGAAGAGUGUAAGAGCACAGCGUAUACUUACAAUUAGCAAGGAAACUUUUAGCAAGUGCUGAGGAAGAGCUCCCAAUGGUUCAUACAAUAUGGGCUAUGCUGGUCAGUGUAUGAGAUCUGUAUAAUAUAUUACGUAACUACAGAUUCAG
Xenopus laevis (African clawed frog) is the source of this 370-nucleotide long non-coding RNA. RefSeq lists it as uncharacterized. The record is from RefSeq and is a predicted model, not a curated record. NCBI's taxonomy places the organism in Eukaryota, Metazoa, Chordata, Amphibia, Anura, Pipidae. The transcript has 2 exons.